This is a long non-coding RNA of Phlebotomus papatasi, 869 nucleotides long. RefSeq lists it as uncharacterized. Lineage: Eukaryota; Metazoa; Arthropoda; Insecta; Diptera; Psychodidae. The transcript is spliced from 2 exons. The record is from RefSeq and is a predicted model, not a curated record.
CGGGUAAGACCGCCUCCAGGCGGUCUUCACAAAAAUCACAUUUACAGCGACAAUAAAGGUUUUAUUUAUUUAAAAGUGCUAUAGUGUCCUCGGUAAUAGUCUUAUAAACAUCUCUUGAAAGUUUAAACUCAUUUUGACUCUUAGUUUUGUUGCUAUUCCCAGUUUUGUGUGACAGCGAAUGACUUACGACAGAGGAUACGUGAGAAAAAGACAAAGAAAAAUGCCCAAGGUGAAACUAAAAAUGUCUAUGGGGUACUCACCGAAAGCUCUCAGCUUCCCCGAAUGGAAAUCCUCGAGAAGGCCCAAGAGAGCCCUCUCCAUGUUGCGUACAUCUCCCUCAUCUGAGAUAAAUGAAUGAUGUUUCAGAGGACGAUCGGCAAAGGAAAAGUUUGAACUAUGAACUGGAUGUGUUGGCGCCUGGACAGUUUUGGGUGACGGAAGAUCUAGCCGGGGACAACGUAACAAAAGAAAACAGACAAAGCCCAGGCGCGCAGAAAUCAACCAAAAUAAGAUUACCAUAAAAUAAAAAAGAGGAAUGGCUAAAAUAAGUAAAUUAAAAAAAAAUACUAUAAAAAUGAAACUGAUGGAAAAGUGCGGCAAAAUAGAGUGAAAAAGCUGAAGGUGAAAGAAUGAGGUCGAGGCUGAAGGGCGGAGUCCCUACCUCUGUUGAUUUUCUUGGCUUUCGCUUUGGCAAUUGCCUCCAACUUGCGCUCAUUGACGAACGUGAGCUUUGUAGACUGCUGAGAGCUGGCUUCUGGAUGACCCUUUCCCACGGAACACGUCGUGGAAUUCUGGGAUCGGCUGGUGUCUCCGCUGGAGAAGACUUUGCUCAGCACUGGCGAAAUGGGGGUCUGAAUUGAGGACUUUGG